Molecule: ribosomal RNA, 305 nt
Filed under: uncultured bacterium
Lineage: Bacteria
Description: bacterial SSU rRNA
Rfam family: Bacterial small subunit ribosomal RNA
Source: RNAcentral
UCCUACGGGGCGCAGCAGUGAGGAAUAUUGGUCAAUGGGCGGGAGCCUGAACCAGCCAAGCCGCGUGAGGGAAGAAGGUACAGCGUAUCGUAAACCUCUUUUGUCAGGGAACGAAGGCGGGGACUAGUCCCCGGAUGAGGGUACCUGAAGAAAAAGCAUCGGCUAACUCCGUGCCAGCAGCCGCGGUAAUACGGAGGAUGCGAGCGUUAUCCGGAUUUAUUGGGUUUAAAGGGUGCGUAGGCGGUCCGUUAAGUCAGCGGUAAAAUUGCGGGGCUCAACCCUGUCGAGCCGUUGAAACUGGCAGA